This 442-nucleotide ribosomal RNA is filed under the name uncultured bacterium. RNAcentral's name for it is "partial 16S ribosomal RNA". It matches the Rfam family "Bacterial small subunit ribosomal RNA", at positions 338 to 795 of the family's 1533-position model. The record is from RNAcentral.
CCUACGGGUGACAGCAGUGGGGAAUAUUCGGCAAUGGGCGCAAGCCUGACCCAGCAACGCCGCGUGAAGGAAUACGGCUUUCGGGUUGUAAACUUCUUUUGACAGGGAAGAGUAGAAUUCGGUACAUGUCGAAUAAGCCACGGCUAACUACGUGCCACCAGCCGCGGUAAUACGUAGGUGGCAAUCGUUGUCCGGAUUUACUGGGUGUAAAGAGCGUGUAGCCGGGUUGACAAGUCAGAUGUGAAAUCCUGCGGCUUAACCGCAGAACUGCAUGUGAAACUGUUGAUCUUGAGUACUGGAGAGGCAGAGGGAAUGUCUAGUGUAGCGGUGAAAUGCGUAGAUAUUAGGAGGAACACCAGUGGCGAAGGCGGUCUUCUGGACAGCAAAUGACGGUGAGGCGCGAAAGCGUGGGGAGCAAACAGGAUUAGAUACCCUUGUAGUC